AAUAAAAUGCCUGAAAAAAGGGUUACUUUGAUAGAGUAAAUUAUGCGAGCAAAUCUCGUUUUUAUUA
RNAcentral lists this transfer RNA (67 nucleotides) under Chthamalus malayensis. RNAcentral describes it as "tRNA-Ile". The record is from RNAcentral. Lineage: Eukaryota; Metazoa; Arthropoda; Thecostraca; Balanomorpha; Chthamalidae.